RNAcentral lists this ribosomal RNA (253 nucleotides) under uncultured bacterium. RNAcentral's name for it is "partial 16S ribosomal RNA". It matches the Rfam family "Bacterial small subunit ribosomal RNA", at positions 524 to 776 of the family's 1533-position model. The record is from RNAcentral.
UACGAAGGGGGCUAGCGUUGCUCGGAAUCACUGGGCGUAAAGCGCACGUAGGCGGCUUCUUAAGUCAGGGGUGAAAUCCUGGAGCUCAACUCCAGAACUGCCUCUGAUACUGAGGAGCUUGAGUCCGGGAGAGGUGAGUGGAACUCCGAGUGUAGAGGUGAAAUUCGUAGAUAUUCGGAAGAACACCAGUGGCGAAGGCGGCUCACUGGCCCGGUACUGACGCUGAGGUGCGAAAGCGUGGGGAGCAAACAGG